Small nuclear RNA from Octopus sinensis (East Asian common octopus), 103 nucleotides. Lineage: Eukaryota; Metazoa; Mollusca; Cephalopoda; Octopoda; Octopodidae. The record is from RefSeq and is a predicted model, not a curated record.
AUAUUCUAAAAUUACAUAUUCUAAAAUUGGAACGAUACAGAGAAGAUUAGCAUGGCCCCAGCUCAAGGAUGACACGCAAAUUCGUGGUGGGGGCGCAAUGGCC